This 1165-nucleotide ribosomal RNA is filed under the name uncultured bacterium. RNAcentral describes it as "bacterial SSU rRNA". It matches the Rfam family "Bacterial small subunit ribosomal RNA", at positions 292 to 1495 of the family's 1533-position model. The record is from RNAcentral.
CUGAGAGAGAUGAUUCAGCAACCUGAACUGAGACCAGUCCAAUCCUACGGAGGCAGCAGUGGGAAUAUGGCACAUGAAGGAAACUCUGAUGCAGCACGCGCGUGGAGGAUGACGCAUUCCGUGUGUAACUCCUUUUAUUAUGGAGAUAAUGACGUAACAUAUGAAUAAGCACCGGCUACUCCGUGCCAGCAGCGCGGUAAUACCGGAGGGUGCAAGCGUACUCGGAAUCACUGGGCGUAAAGCGCGCGCAGGCGGCUAUUUAAGUUGGAUGUGAAAGCGUACGGCUCAACCGUAGAACUGCAUCCAAAACUAUUUAGCUAGAGUGUGGGAGAGGAAGAUGGAAUUAGUUGUGUAGGGGUAAAAUCCGUAGAGAUAACUAGGAAUACCAAAAGCAAAGGCAAUCUUCUGGAACACUACUGACGCUGAGGCGCGAAAGCGUGGGGAGCAAACAGGAUUAGAUACCCUGGUAGUCCACGCAGUAAACGAUGAAUGUUAGUCGUCGGGUAGCUAGUCUAUUCGGUGAUGCAGCUAACGCAUUAAACAUUCCGCCUGGGGAGUACGGUCGCAAGAUUAAAACUCAAAGGAAUAGACGGGGACCCGCACAAGUGGUGGAGCAUGUGGUUUAAUUCGAAGAUACGCGAAGAACCUUACCUAGCCUUGACAUAUUAAAGAACACUUUAGAGAUAGAGUGGUGCCUUCGGGAGCUUUUAUACAGGUGCUGCACGGCUGUCGUCAGCUCGUGUCGUGAGAUGUUGGGUUAAGUCCCGCAACGAGCGCAACCCUCGUCACUAGUUACUAACGGUUAGGCCGAGGACUCUAGUGAGACUGCCUUCGCAAGGAGGAGGAAGGUGAGGACGACGUCAAGUCAUCAUGGCCCUUACGGCUAGGGCAACACACGUGCUACAAUGGUUGGGACAAUGAGACGCGAUACCGCGAGGUGGAGCAAAUCUAUAAACCCAAUCUCAGUUCGGAUUGUAGUCUGCAACUCGACUACAUGAAGCUGGAAUCACUAGUAAUCGUAGAUCAGCUAUGCUACGGUGAAUACGUUCCCGGGUCUUGUACUCACCGCCCGUCACACCAUGGGAGUUGAUUUCACCCGAAGCGGGGAAGCUAAACUGGCUACCCUCCACGGUGGAAUCAGCGACUGGGGUGAAGUCGUAACAAG